GGACCGUUAGCUCAAUGGUUAGAGCACUCGGCUCAUAACCGAUUUGUUCCGGGUUCAAGUCCUGGACGGUCCACCA
RNAcentral lists this transfer RNA (76 nucleotides) under Bacilli bacterium. RNAcentral's name for it is "tRNA-Ile". It matches the Rfam family "tRNA". Rfam says of the family: Transfer RNA (tRNA) molecules are approximately 80 nucleotides in length. Lineage: Bacteria; Bacillati; Bacillota; Bacilli. RNAcentral also lists the same sequence under 1 other name. The record is from RNAcentral.